CGGACGGGUGAGUAACACGUGAGCAACCUGCCUUUAAGAGUGGGAUAACAGUCGGAAACGACCGCUAAUACCGCAUAAUAUACUUGUAUCGCAUGGUAUGGGUAUCAAAGAUUUAUCGCUUAAAGAUGGGCUCGCGUCUGAUUAGCUGGUUGGUGAGGUAACGGCUCACCAAGGCGACGAUCAGUAGCCGUACUGAGAGGUAGAACGGCCACAUUGGGACUGAGACACGGCCCAGACUCCUACGGAAGGCAGCAG
Molecule: ribosomal RNA, 255 nt
Filed under: uncultured bacterium
Lineage: Bacteria
Description: partial 16S ribosomal RNA
Rfam family: Bacterial small subunit ribosomal RNA
Source: RNAcentral